AAAUCCCUUCAUUUCAAACAGCCGCAUACCAUGUCUUCCCCCAUUUCUCUGAUCUCUGCUAAUUUUUGCCAAACCCACAUACAACUAAGGACAUCAUCUUCUCAAAUAUAUACAAAACAUCCUACCCGCUCCCUCUCCCUCUCGAUCUCCUUGCCGGCAACCACAUCGGCCGACUGCCGACCGGUAUCUCAGUUCCGUUCACCGGUAAAAACCGAUUAGAUCAGGCAAUUUUGUUCUAAGAUUAUGCUUUCAAUAACUCACGGUUUAGCAUGAGACCAAACUUAUUGUAAAUAGUAACCAUACAUGAACAGUGAUGUUUAGACCCUAUGUAUUGUUGCUUUCAGUAGUAAAUCAAAGAAUAAAAAAAGGCAAACCAUCUAAACCGUGGGAGACCGGCUACUUCUUGAUGGUGAUGACGAUUUGCUGUUGUUGGUAAUGUUGGUGGUUCGGAUACUUCCAGAUCGAUUCAAGUUUGGUUAAAAUAGAUGACAUCAGCUUGAUGAUGGUUCGGGUUUUGUUUCGGCUCGGGUCACGGUUCGGUUCAGAUUAGAUUUAACGCGGGUCAAUUUGUCUAUACCCGUGUUAUACAUAUGUAUUUGUGUAUAUCCGAUGAAUAUGUAAUUUUAUUUUCUUUAUGUUUGUAGAUUUUAUAAUUUUUUGUUUGUAAAUUUGUAUAAAUUUAUUAUUAAU
This is a long non-coding RNA of Helianthus annuus (common sunflower), 690 nucleotides long. RefSeq lists it as uncharacterized. The transcript is spliced from 2 exons. The record is from RefSeq and is a predicted model, not a curated record. NCBI's taxonomy places the organism in Eukaryota, Viridiplantae, Streptophyta, Magnoliopsida, Asterales, Asteraceae.